RNAcentral lists this transfer RNA (72 nucleotides) under Pangasianodon hypophthalmus (striped catfish). RNAcentral's name for it is "tRNA-Glu". The record is from RNAcentral. Lineage: Eukaryota; Metazoa; Chordata; Actinopteri; Siluriformes; Pangasiidae.
GGGUCCCUGGAGAACUAGUGGUUAGGCCACAGCACUCUCACUGCUGUGGCAUGGGUUCAAUUCCUGGUCCCA